Molecule: transfer RNA, 73 nt
Organism: Firmicutes bacterium CAG:424
Lineage: Bacteria; Bacillati; Bacillota
Rfam family: tRNA
About the family: Transfer RNA (tRNA) molecules are approximately 80 nucleotides in length.
Source: Rfam
GCGGAGAAGGUGAUGCGGUACGUUGCACCUGGCUUAUAUCCAGCGAUUGUGGGUUCGACUCCUACUCUCCGUA